GCCGGCAUAGCUCAGUCGGUAGAGCAGCGCAUUCGUAAUGCGCAGGUCAGGGGUUCGACUCCUCUUGCCGGCAUCA
This 76-nucleotide transfer RNA is filed under the name Pseudomonas sp. Leaf127. Its description in RNAcentral is "tRNA-Thr". It matches the Rfam family "tRNA". Rfam says of the family: Transfer RNA (tRNA) molecules are approximately 80 nucleotides in length. The record is from RNAcentral. Lineage: Bacteria; Pseudomonadati; Pseudomonadota; Gammaproteobacteria; Pseudomonadales; Pseudomonadaceae.